RNAcentral lists this transfer RNA (72 nucleotides) under Rickenella mellea. It matches the Rfam family "tRNA". From Rfam's summary of the family: Transfer RNA (tRNA) molecules are approximately 80 nucleotides in length. Their secondary structure includes four short double-helical elements and three loops (D, anti-codon, and T loops). The record is from Rfam by way of RNAcentral. Lineage: Eukaryota; Fungi; Basidiomycota; Agaricomycetes; Hymenochaetales; Rickenellaceae.
GCCCUUAUAGCUCAGUGGUAGAGCGCGUCACUCGUAAUGAUGAGGUCGGUUGUUCAAUCCAGCCUGGGGGCA